AAAUUGAAGAGUUUGAUCAUGGCUCAGAUUGAACGCUGGCGGCAGGCCUAACACAUGCAAGUCGAACGGUAGCACAGAGAGCUUGCUCUCGGGUGACGAGUGGCGGACGGGUGAGUAAUGUCUGGGAAACUGCCUGAUGGAGGGGGAUAACUACUGGAAACGGUGGCUAAUACCGCAUAACGUCGCAAGACCAAAGAGGGGGACCUUCGGGCCUCUUGCCAUCAGAUGUGCCCAGAUGGGAUUAGCUAGUUGGUGAGGUAACGGCUCACCAAGGCGACGAUCCCUAGCUGGUCUGAGAGGAUGACCAGCCACACUGGAACUGAGACACGGUCCAGACUCCUACGGGAGGCAGCAGUGGGGAAUAUUGCACAAUGGGCGCAAGCCUGAUGCAGCCAUGCCGCGUGUAUGAAGAAGGCCUUCGGGUUGUAAAGUACUUUCAGCGGGGAGGAAGGUGUUGUGGUUAAUAACCGCAGCAAUUGACGUUACCCGCAGAAGAAG
Molecule: ribosomal RNA, 498 nt
Filed under: Salmonella enterica subsp. enterica serovar Muenchen
Lineage: Bacteria; Pseudomonadati; Pseudomonadota; Gammaproteobacteria; Enterobacterales; Enterobacteriaceae
Also listed under: 1 other name
Description: bacterial SSU rRNA
Rfam family: Bacterial small subunit ribosomal RNA
Source: RNAcentral